Molecule: ribosomal RNA, 335 nt
Filed under: Bhargavaea beijingensis
Lineage: Bacteria; Bacillati; Bacillota; Bacilli; Caryophanales; Caryophanaceae
Description: partial 16S ribosomal RNA
Rfam family: Bacterial small subunit ribosomal RNA
Source: RNAcentral
AAAAAAUUGGCGGCAGCUAUACAUGCAGUCGAGCGGAUGACGGGGAGCUUGCUCCCCUGAUUCAGCGGCGGACGGGUGAGUAACACGUGGGCAACCUGCCUGUAAGAUCGGGAUAACUCCGGGAAACCGGGGCUAAUACCGGAUGGUUCCUUCCUCCGCAUGGAGGAAGGCGGAAAGACGGUUUCGGCUGUCACUUACAGAUGGGCCCGCGGCGCAUUAGCUAGUUGGCGGGGUAACGGCCCACCAAGGCAACGAUGCGUAGCCGACCUGAGAGGGUGAUCGGCCACACUGGGACUGAGACACGGCCCAGACUCCUACGGAGAGGGAAAAAAAAA